Podarcis lilfordi (Lilford's wall lizard) is the source of this 77-nucleotide non-coding RNA. Lineage: Eukaryota; Metazoa; Chordata; Lepidosauria; Squamata; Lacertidae. The record is from the annotation of a GenBank genome assembly.
CAAUGGGAUAGCUCAGUCGGUAGAGCAUAAGCCUCUUAAUCUCAGGGUCGUGGGUUCAAGUCAAAUGCUGGGAAAGA